This 308-nucleotide long non-coding RNA is filed under the name Ananas comosus (pineapple). RNAcentral's name for it is "long non-coding RNA (ACOM_LNC024264)". The record is from RNAcentral. Lineage: Eukaryota; Viridiplantae; Streptophyta; Magnoliopsida; Poales; Bromeliaceae.
GCAGUAGCGACCGUCACCUGGGUUACUUUUAUUUCCGCGUUUAGUAGUUUAACAAAUAAAUAGUUCAGUUAGAUGAUCUCGAUGAUUAUUUGAAUGUUCGUGAAGUGGUUUUAGUGGAUCUGUGGAUGUUUUUAUUAUACAUGCGAUUGGAUAAUUGGUUUCGAUUUUAUGUAUUCAUACUUGGUGGUUUUCUACCUCUCGAGAUAGUCGGUUUUCAAAAUAGAGUUUCCGAGUGGGAAACCGUUUUAAAAGGUUUUCGAAUGAUUUCAUGAAUGAUUGAAUUAGAGUUUAAAACAAAGCUUCCGGGU